RNAcentral lists this ribosomal RNA (375 nucleotides) under uncultured bacterium. RNAcentral's name for it is "bacterial SSU rRNA". It matches the Rfam family "Bacterial small subunit ribosomal RNA", at positions 524 to 898 of the family's 1533-position model. The record is from RNAcentral.
UACGUAGGGAGCAAGCGUUGUCCGGAUUUACCGGGUGUAAAGGGUGCGUAGGCGGCUUUACAAGUCAGGCGUGAAAUAUAUGGGCUUAACCCAUAGACUGCGUUUGAAACUGUAGAGCUUGAGUGAAGUAGAGGUAGGCGGAAUUCCCGGUGUAGCGGUGAAAUGCGUAGAGAUCGGGAGGAACACCAGUGGCGAAGGCGGCCUACUGGGCUUUAACUGACGCUGAGGCACGAAAGCAUGGGUAGCAAACAGGAUUAGAUACCCUGGUAGUCCAUGCCGUAAACGAUGAUUACUAGGUGUGGGGGGUCUGACCCCUUCCGUGCCGGAGUUAACACAAUAAGUAAUCCACCUGGGGAGUACGGCCGCAAGGUUGAA